GAAAGGGCCCAUUCGGCUGAAAAAAAAGGAGAGGGGAGGUGGCGGCCCAAGAGAAAAGAGAAGGGGAGAUGGGCCUGCGCAGGGGAAAAGAGAGGGGGAAGGAGAUGGGCCGGCGGAUAGGCCCAUCCGGCUUGAAGAAGGAAGGAAAGGAAGAGAGGAGGGAUUUCGGCCCAAGGAGAGGAAAGAGAGGUGGAGGGUUUUUGAGAAUUUAAAUAGAGUUGAAGUUUUUAAAAUCCAAUUCAAAUUCUUUUGAAAUUCAAAAGCAAGCAUUCAAACAAAAGCCAAAAUAAAAGAGAAAAGAAAAACUCUACCAAGCACUUAUUGCUUCUAAAAUUAUUUCAAGUGCUCUUUAAUUAUUUAAAGACCGUAAUUUAAAUAAAGUAAUUUAUUUAAUCCUUAGAGCACGAAAAA
This 411-nucleotide long non-coding RNA is filed under the name Setaria viridis. RNAcentral describes it as "long non-coding RNA (SVIR_LNC005132)". Lineage: Eukaryota; Viridiplantae; Streptophyta; Magnoliopsida; Poales; Poaceae. The record is from RNAcentral.